Sapajus apella (tufted capuchin) is the source of this 1414-nucleotide long non-coding RNA. RefSeq lists it as uncharacterized. The record is from RefSeq and is a predicted model, not a curated record. The transcript has 2 exons. Lineage: Eukaryota; Metazoa; Chordata; Mammalia; Primates; Cebidae.
CAGUACGGUAACAUGCUGUACAAGUUUGUAGCCUAGGAGCAACAGGCCAUGCCAUGUAGCUUAGGUGUGGAGUAGGGUGCACCAUCUAGGUUUGUUUAAGUACAUUUUGUGGUGUCUGCACAGCAGUGAAAUUGCCUGAUGAUGCAUUUCUUAGAACAUAUCUUCCUCAUGAAGAUAUGCAUGACUGCAUCUCCUUUAUAGUCCUCAUUCUAUUUGUCCUGUCUGCUGCAUGGAUGUAUUAACCACUCUCCUUGAAACCUUUUGCUUCCUUGGCUUCUUGAAGCCACUCUUUCUUUGUUCAUUUCCUUUUUUCCCCUUUAAUUUUGGGUUUUCAAAAUAGUAGGUAUGACACGGAAUGCAAGGUCAGUAGCAGAAAGCAGUGAAUGGUAAGUUGGUUCUACUUGUGAUCCAAGAAGGAAGUAAAAGACAUUCAAGGUAAAUACCGUGAAGACACAGAAGCCAAGGAGGUGAUGUGCCAGAAGCUAUCGUGGAAAGCUGGGGCCAAGGAUUAGGAGCUGAACACCACUAAGAAAAGUCUCAGAUCCAGCUCCUCCUCUGGCUACAGUUACACAAUGUUACAUACCUAGGCUCCAAAAGCAGAUGGAUUUGCAUUGGAACCCUAGGGCUCCUGUCUGCUGUGUGACUUUGAACAAGGCUCCUGACCCUCUCUGCCUUUGAUUCCUCAUUGGUAAAUAGGUACAUACUAGUGACAUCACAUGUUGGUUAUGAAGUCACAUCACAGGUUUCAAAUGAAAUAAUAUAAAGAAAAAGGGAAUGAAUAAAAGCUUAGCUUAACCUACAUAAAGCUCUAUAUACUUAAUUGUUGUUACUCUUAUUAUUCUAUGCCAGUAUAAGCCCUUAAGUGUUUUCAAUGUGUUUUAAAAGAUUUCUAACUGGUCUCCCUAACAUAAGACCCAAUAAAUUCAUUGUCUUGAUUGUCAGAAUUAUAUUUUAAAAAGCUAAAUCUGAUCAUGUCACUUCCCUGCCCCAAAGCUUCUAAUGUUCUUGUUCUCUAUGUGACUGCCUUUUAUGCCAUACUGAAGUAUCGACUUAAAAUGGAAUCAACUUCUUAAAACUGAAACGGCAUCUUCUACCUUUCUCGUUUAUUUCCUGCUACUCUCCCAGAAGUAUAGUCUUCAUGAACACCAAACCUAUUCUUUCAUAGACCUACCAGUCCCUUUGAAGCUGAUGGGCCUCCUUCUGUUUCCUGUUUCAGUACUUGCCCCAUUUAAUCUAGAAAAUUCCUACUUGUCCUUAAGACCUAGGGAUGGCUUCCUCUAAGUAAAAAUUGAAUGCCUCUCGGUGCUAUGAAGAGUACUUUAUUCACAGCAUUUGUGACAUGGAAUUUACAAUUACUGAAUUGCAAUUACUUUCCCUAGGGAACGGUCCAUUUGUGAAUAAAAAUCAAAUCUGG